RNAcentral lists this ribosomal RNA (318 nucleotides) under Ceramium cimbricum. RNAcentral's name for it is "eukaryotic LSU rRNA". It matches the Rfam family "Eukaryotic large subunit ribosomal RNA", at positions 1864 to 2190 of the family's 3401-position model. Lineage: Eukaryota; Rhodophyta; Florideophyceae; Ceramiales; Ceramiaceae. The record is from RNAcentral.
UCCCCAAGGUGAACAGCCUCUGUUCAAUAUGAAAAAUGCAGGUAAGGGAAGUCGGCAAAUUAGACCCGUAACUUUGGGAAAAGGGUUGGCUCUAGUGCUGCGUGGGAGUGGUUGUCGUAUUUCGGGUGCUUCAGCUAGGCACUUUGUUGCGGGAGGGGUUCCUUCGGGAAAACCUUCUGUGGCAUUGAGCUCCGCAGGCGUAUCUGAGUGCGACGACGCCCACAGCAUGCAGCAGACUAGAACUGCAACGGGCAAAGGGAAUCCGACUGUUUAAUUAAAACAAAGCAUUGCGAAGGCCGUGGCCGGUGAUGACGCAAU